Long non-coding RNA from Clupea harengus (Atlantic herring), 2913 nucleotides. The record is from Ensembl. NCBI's taxonomy places the organism in Eukaryota, Metazoa, Chordata, Actinopteri, Clupeiformes, Clupeidae.
GUGUGUGUGUGUGUGUGUGUGUGUGUGUGUCUGUGUGUGUGUGUGUGUGUGUCUGUGUGUGUGUGUGUGUGUGUGUGUGUGUGUGUGUGUGUGUGUCUGUGUGUGUGUGUGUGUGUGUGUGUGUGUGUGUGUGUGUGUGUGUGUGUGUGUGUGUGUGUGUGUGUGUGCAUCCUAGAGGGCAUAGCAGGGGAGAGAGAACGGAGGGGUGGGGGAUCACAGAUGAGGACAGACUAGAGGGAGGUUCUAAUAAAGGGGAAAAAGAGACAGACCGGAGACCAGCAGGGAGAGAAGGAUACAGGAGAAAAAAAAAGAGAUGAAAAACAGAGGAGACGCACAGGAAGCAGGGUGAAAGAAAUGCGCAAAGAGGGAUGGGAAGGGAGGGAGAGAGUGAGGGAGAGAGUGAGUGAGGGAGGGAGGGAGGGAGGGAGGGAGAGUUCGAGUAGAACAGCUGUACGGUCAAUAUCCUGCGCACAGUUGUGAAUCGGUGCAACAGAGCAAGUGCUCUUUCGCCUUGUUCCUCCUUUCCCUCUCCCUCCUCUCCUCUCCUCUCCUCUCUCGCUCGUUCGAUCGUACGCAGGCGGCCCCGUAGAAUGGAACUGUAGAGAAUGGAUUUCAACAGUCUUCAAAAGAGGCUCCUCUGUUAAUAGGCAUCCACUGAAUUUCUUCGCUCAAAUACAGCGGUUCGUGUUGUAUGACAGUCAGUGUCCUCUUCUUCCACGGUAUCUCUCUCUUCCUCCAUUCAUUCCCUCUUUUCAUCUCCUGUAGAACUGUUUCUGUAGGGGUCUCUUCAUAAUGACCACAUUCCCAUUUCAGUCAUGCAACCCUCCAAAAUGAAAUCUCAGCCCACAGACCUUCCUCUGUAGUGCCGGAAAGAAAAGACCCUCAUCUCUCACACUACUCCAUCUGAAAGAAAGUAAGGAAGGAGGAGAGAGGGGGGGGGGGGUGAUAGAUACAGAGAGUGAUUAGAAGCAGGGAUUAAAAUCACGACUGAUGUUCAAAUUUAAAUAGUAAAUGUGAUGCCAUGGUGAGGAUGAAUCCAAAACGGAGGAUGGAAGUUACAUGCCAAAGAUGUGUUUGAAGAGGAUGAAUACUUGCAGGCAUAGCAGUCCAAUGGAGAGGGGCUGAGGGAGGUAAGAAGGGACUUGUUUGUGCUCUGAAAUUCAAUGGGACAGAAGGGGGACAUAAAGGACGCCCACUGUGCCAGCCACAUAGCUAUUUGAAGACUCAGACUCCCUCACACCAGCGAACCCAGCCACAGAGGCACGAGAAUGCCGCCACAGACAUUACAUGCAAGCAUUUUUUUUUUAUUUUAGGAAACAGACCGCAUGAAAAAAAAAAAAGGAGGAAUCCUAUGCAUCUGGACUCAAUUGUCACAAAAAAAGAGGAGGAGGGUAAAAAAUGCUUCCAAAUGAUAGGUAUGGAACAUGCUUUCAUGCCCACAGAAGCACAACAAUAUAGUGGGCACAGCAAUGCUGUACAUGCAAGUACUGUACUAUACAUAAUUCUGGGUAAUGUGGUCAUACGAAGUCAAGUUACUUCAUAUAAACUUUAAUUUACCAUUAUUAUUACUUUGACAUAAUGGAACUCAUCUCUUCUAUUUAGACAAAGUCACAAAGUGAAAACAUAGGUUAACAUUAAUUGUAAAUGAACUUUCGCCCCGCACACAGUCCAACCACUUACUUACUUCGCCAAGGGCUGCUGCCUCAUAUUCAGUUUCUGAGCUCCUAGCACACCAUCCCUCCAUUUUGAAAAUGGGAACCAGGAGAGCUGAAACCAAUCUCUCUGUAAAAGCUCCUCUCCCGUUUGAUGCCCAUCUCCUCUCUUUCGUAUAGGCACCGCCGCCGCCGCCGCGCUGGCAUGAGCCAGCCAGGACUCGGGCAUAUAAGCUGGCAUGGGGUAGUUCCCACACUUGUGGCUGGAAUGUCAUGACAUUUGCCCACUCAGAUGCUUUCCAUCAAUUAUUCAUGACUUUGCUAAAAAUGAGGAUGGAAAACGAGGAGGAGAGUGACCUUCUCUCCCCGUGACUCCCCUGCUCUGCAGUCGCCACCAUGCCCUAAUGGACUAUUACCGCCCGCAAAAAUCAGUUAACAAUCAAAUGAUUGCAGAAAUGUUCACGUUGCCUGGAUACAAAAAGCACAAUUAAACAUGAUUAUCACCCUCUUCACCCAGACAGUGGAGUAUAUAAGUGUUUUCAUAAAACAACAACUGAACCUAGAUGCACAGCGCUAACUCGAAAGACAGGAAUGAGAGAGGGAGAGAUUGGAGAGAUGUAUAAGGCUAACAAAAGGGUUGAAUUAGUGCACCACUUAAAGCACAGUAGCUGGCACUGAAGGGAGAGGGGGGGGGUGGGGGGGGGGCGUGGGGGGUAGAGUGGCAGAGUGGGGUGCUGGGUUGGUCACUCAAUUCUCACAUCCUUCUGGCUGUAUUCAUGCUCUCUCUCUCGCGCGCCAUGUCCUUGUUGUGUGUGGUGCUUACUUUGUCUACUAUACCAACCACAGGCACAUAGCUUGCUUAAUUUAACAUGGUAAGUUUGGGUAAUAAAUACAAAACUUUUUGGACCUUUUUCUCAUUUGAGGUUUGAGGGACAACCCAUCUGGUUUGCCCCUGGAUAUAGAGGGAUGUGUCCAAUUACACUGUAGCGCUGACAGAUAGGGCAAGACAGAAUAGGUAUGUCCUGUAUACACUGUGAACAACCAAACGCAAGGCAACUGACAGACAGAGGGCAUAUGGUACAUUGCUUUUCAUCAUUUCUCCUGAAGGUCAACUCCAUUCUGAGCGAUAAGUUAUGAAUAGCUUCGUGUCAGUUACAGUCUCUCCAAUGUGCCAGUGAGUGAUUAAAAGUCCACCAGUGUGGCAUUGUUAACUGACAAGUAAUCUAACUUUGACUAUUUUUUCCCCUUUCAUGUCUGGAAG